RNAcentral lists this ribosomal RNA (2934 nucleotides) under Aliarcobacter cryaerophilus. Its description in RNAcentral is "Arcobacter cryaerophilus 23S ribosomal RNA". It matches the Rfam family "Bacterial large subunit ribosomal RNA". The record is from RNAcentral. Lineage: Bacteria; Pseudomonadati; Campylobacterota; Epsilonproteobacteria; Campylobacterales; Arcobacteraceae.
UAUAAGCUAUUAAGGGCUAAUGGUGGAUGCCUUGACUGUAAGAGGCGAUGAAGGACGUAUUAGGCUGCGAUAAGCCUCGGGGAGCUGCCAAAGAGCUUUGAUCCGAGGAUUUCCGAAUGGGGCAACCCAGCAUAUAGAGAUAUAUGUUACCCUACGGGGAGCGAACCUGGUGAAGUGAAACAUCUCAGUAGCCAGAGGAAGAGAAAUCAAAUGAGAUUCCCAUAGUAGCGGCGAGCGAACUGGGAUUAGGACAAACCCAAUGCUUGCAUUGGGGGUUGUAGGACUAUAAUGUGUAAUUAAAGAGAAUAGAUGAAUUAGUUGGAAAACUAGAGCAUAGAAGGUGAUACUCCUGUAAUUAAAAUUCUCAAUAAUACUAAUAGUAUCCUGAGUAGGUCGGAACACGUGAUAUUUUGACUGAAGCUGGGGGGACCACCCUCCAAUCCUAAAUACUACUUACAGAUCGAUAGUGAACAAGUACCGUGAGGGAAAGGUGAAAAGUACUGCAGCGAGCAGAGUGAAAUAGAACCUGAAACCAUUAGCUUACAAUCAUUCAGAGCCCUAUGAUUUAUCAGGGUGAUGGACUGCCUUUUGCAUAAUGAGCCUGCGAGUUGUGGUGUCUGGCAAGGUUAAGCCAAGUGCGAAGCCGUAGCGAAAGCGAGUCUUAAUAGGGCGACAUAGUCAGAUGCUGCAGACCCGAAACGAAGUGAUCCAUCCAUGAGCAGGUUGAAGCUGGUGUAAGAGCCAGUGGAGGACCGAACCCGCUGACGUUGAAAAGUCUUGGGAUGACUUGUGGAUAGGGGUGAAAGGCCAAUCAAACUUCGUGAUAGCUGGUUCUCUCCGAAAUAUAUUUAGGUAUAGCCUUGUGUUGUAGCAUAUAGGGGUAGAGCACUGAAUGGGCUAGGGCUGCUUACCGCGGUACCAAACCCUAUCAAACUAUGAAUACUAUAUGUGGAAUCACAGGAGUCAGGCGGUGGGUGAUAAAAUCCGUCGUCAAGAGGGGAACAACCCAGACUAACAGCUAAGGUCCCUAAGUUACAUCUAAGUGGAAAACGAUGUGGAGUUACUGUGACAACCAGGAGGUUGGCUUAGAAGCAGCCAUCCUUUAAAGAAAGCGUAACAGCUCACUGGUCUAGUGAUUCUGCGCGGAAAAUAUAACGGGGCUAAGAUGUACACCGAAGCUUUAGAUUCAAUUUUUAAUUGAGUGGUAGGAGAGCGUUCUAUUCAGCGUUGAAGGUAUACCGGUAAGGAGUGCUGGAGCGGAUAGAAGUGAGCAUGCAGGCAUGAGUAGCGAUAAUUAAGGUGAGAAUCCUUAACGCCGAAAACCCAAGGUUUCCUACGCGAUGCUCGUCAUCGUAGGGUUAGUCGGGUCCUAAGUCGAGACUGAAAAGUGUAGACGAUGGCAAAUUGGUUAAUAUUCCAAUACCAACAUAUAAGCGCGAUGUGGGGACGCAUAGAGUUAGUCGAGCUCACUGAUGGAAUAGUGGGUCGAAGGAUGUAGGUUGUUAAGUAGGCAAAUCCGCUUAACGUUAGACCGAGAUCUUACAGGCUCUUGACACUCUUCGGAGGAGAUGGAGAAUCGAUGAUACUGUCGUGCCAAGAAAAGCCACUAAGUUUAUUAUAUGUUGCCCGUACCGUAAACCGACACAGGUGGGUGGGAUGAGUAUUCUAAGGCGCGUGGAAGAACCCUCUUUAAGGAACUCUGCAAAAUAGCACCGUAUCUUCGGUAUAAGGUGUGCCUACUUUGGUAUAUGAACUUGCUUCAAAAAGCUAGAGAGGUUGCAACAAAGAGUCCCUCCCGACUGUUUACCAAAAACACAGCACUUUGCUAACACGUAAGUGGAUGUAUAAGGUGUGACGCCUGCCCGGUGCUCGAAGGUUAAUUGAUGAUGUCAGCGCAAGCGAAGCAUUUGAUCGAAGCCCGAGUAAACGGCGGCCGUAACUAUAACGGUCCUAAGGUAGCGAAAUUCCUUGUCAGUUAAAUACUGACCUGCAUGAAUGGCGUAACGAGAUGGGAGCUGUCUCAAAGAGGGAUCCAGUGAAAUUGUAGUGGAGGUGAAAAUUCCUCCUACCCGCGGAAAGACGGAAAGACCCCGUGCACCUUUACUACAGCUUGACACUGUAGCUUGGAUAUUCAUGUGCAGGAUAGGUGGGAGGCUAUGAUGACUAGACGCAAGUAGAGUCGGAGCCAUCCUUGAGAUACCACCCUUGAAUAUUUGAGUUACUAACUGCGAUGAGUUAUCCUCAUUCAGGACAAUGUCUGGUGGGUAGUUUGACUGGGGCGGUCGCCUCCUAAAUAGUAACGGAGGCUUACAAAGGUUAGUUCAAAGCGGAUGGAAAUCGCUUGUUGAGUAUAAUGGCAUAAACUAGCUUGACUGUGAGACCUACAAGUCGAACAGAGACGAAAGUCGGUCAUAGUGAUCCGGUGGUUCUGCGUGGAAGGGCCAUCGCUCAAAGGAUAAAAGGUACGCCGGGGAUAACAGGCUGAUCUCCCCCAAGAGCUCACAUCGACGGGGAGGUUUGGCACCUCGAUGUCGGCUCAUCGCAUCCUGGGGCUGUAGUCGGUCCCAAGGGUAUGGCUGUUCGCCAUUUAAAGCGGUACGCGAGCUGGGUUCAGAACGUCGUGAGACAGUUCGGUCCCUAUCUUCCGUGGGCGUAGGAAAGUUGAAGAGAUUUGUCCCUAGUACGAGAGGACCGGGAUGAACCAACCACUGGUGUACCAAUUGUUCUGCCAAGAGCAUCGUUGGGUAGCCACGUUGGGAUGUGAUAAGAGCUGAAAGCAUCUAAGCUCGAAGCCAACUCUAAGAUGAACUUUCCCUGAAGUUCCCAGCAAGACUAGCUGGUUGAUAGGCUGGAUGUGUAAUGGGUGUAAGCCCUUUAGCUGACCAGUACUAAUAGAACGUUUGGCUUAUUUUUAACAAUUUUCUUUGGUUUACU